CCUGUGGUGGUUCAGUGGUAGAAUUCUCACCUUCCACAUGGGAGACCAUGGUUCAAUUCCCGGCCAAAGCA
This 71-nucleotide transfer RNA is filed under the name Loxodonta africana (African savanna elephant). It matches the Rfam family "tRNA". Rfam says of the family: Transfer RNA (tRNA) molecules are approximately 80 nucleotides in length. Their secondary structure includes four short double-helical elements and three loops (D, anti-codon, and T loops). Further hydrogen bonds mediate the characteristic L-shaped molecular structure. tRNAs have two regions of fundamental functional importance: the anti-codon, which is responsible for specific mRNA codon recognition, and the 3' end, to which the tRNAs corresponding amino acid is attached (by aminoacyl-tRNA synthetases). tRNAs cope with the degeneracy of the genetic code in two manners: having more than one tRNA (with a specific anti-codon) for a particular amino acid; and 'wobble' base-pairing, i.e. permitting non-standard base-pairing at the 3rd anti-codon position. Lineage: Eukaryota; Metazoa; Chordata; Mammalia; Proboscidea; Elephantidae. The record is from Rfam by way of RNAcentral.